RNAcentral lists this transfer RNA (93 nucleotides) under Cotesia glomerata. Its description in RNAcentral is "tRNA-Ser". The record is from RNAcentral. Lineage: Eukaryota; Metazoa; Arthropoda; Insecta; Hymenoptera; Braconidae.
GGCGACGUUAGCCGAGUGGUCAAAGGCGCACGCCCUGUAGAGCACUCGAACUAACUCACCGGCCAGGCAUGGGUUCGAAACCCAAACUGGUCU